GACGAACGCUGGCGGCGUGCUUAACACAUGCAAGUCGAACGGAAAGGCCCUGCUUUUGUGGGGUGCUCGAGUGGCGAACGGGUGAGUAACACGUGAGUAACCUGCCCUUGACUUUGGGAUAACUUCAGGAAACUGGGGCUAAUACCGGAUAGGAGCUCCUGCUGCAUGGUGGGGGGGGGAAAGUUUCGGCGGUUGGGGAUGGACUCGCGGCUUAUCAGCUUGUUGGUGGGGUAGUGGCUUACCAAGGCUUUGACGGGUAGCCGGCCUGAGAGGGUGACCGGCCACAUUGGGACUGAGAUACGGCCCAGACUCCUACGGGAGGCAGCAGUGGGGAAUAUUGCACAAUGGGCGGAAGCCUGAUGCAGCAACGCCGCGUGCGGGAUGACGGCCUUCGGGUUGUAAACCGCUUUCGCCUGUGACGAAGCGUGAGUGACGGUAAUGGGUAAAGAAGCACCGGCUAACUACGUG
This 468-nucleotide ribosomal RNA is filed under the name uncultured bacterium. Its description in RNAcentral is "partial 16S ribosomal RNA". It matches the Rfam family "Bacterial small subunit ribosomal RNA", at positions 28 to 507 of the family's 1533-position model. The record is from RNAcentral.